Molecule: ribosomal RNA, 483 nt
Filed under: uncultured bacterium
Lineage: Bacteria
Description: partial 16S ribosomal RNA
Rfam family: Bacterial small subunit ribosomal RNA
Source: RNAcentral
UUGAACGCUGGCGGCAGGCCUAACACAUGCAAGUCGAGCGGAUGAAGGGAGCUUGCUCCUGGAUUCAGCGGCGGACGGGUGAGUAAUGCCUAGGAAUCUGCCUGGUAGUGGGGGAUAACGUCCGGAAACGGGCGCUAAUACCGCAUACGUCCUGAGGGAGAAAGUGGGGGAUCUUCGGACCUCACGCUAUCAGAUGAGCCUAGGUCGGAUUAGCUAGUUGGUGGGGUAAAGGCCUACCAAGGCGACGAUCCGUAACUGGUCUGAGAGGAUGAUCAGUCAUACUGGAACUGAGACACGGUCCAGACUCCUACGGGAGGCAGCAGUGGGGAAUAUUGGACAAUGGGCGAAAGCCUGAUCCAGCCAUGCCGCGUGUGUGAAGAAGGUCUUCGGAUUGUAAAGCACUUUAAGUUGGGAGGAAGGGCAGUAAGUUAAUACCUUGCUGUUUUGACGUUACCAACAGAAUAAGCACCGGCUAACUUCGUG